Molecule: long non-coding RNA, 276 nt
Organism: Helianthus annuus (common sunflower)
Lineage: Eukaryota; Viridiplantae; Streptophyta; Magnoliopsida; Asterales; Asteraceae
Exons: 3
Source: RefSeq, a predicted model, not a curated record
GAAAAGUAUAUGCAUGGUAAACAAAAAGAUGUGAAAAAAGUUGUAAAAAAGGACAUGAAGGUGAGGAAUAAUAAACGGAAACAGGUGGAAACACCAAACAAAGGUGUUGGUGAGGUGCACAUAGUAAAGAACAGAAGGUUAUCAACAUCUAAAGUUGGUGAUAAAGAUGACAAUGUUGUUGAUGGUUAAACAUAAAAAAUUGGAAUGGGCAACGAGUGAUAAUUUCAACGAUUGCGGUGUGUUCGCUAUGCGACACAUGGAGAUGUACAAAUGGAG